GGAUUAGGCAUGCAAGUCGAGCGAAUCCCAGCAAUGGGGGAAGCGGCGAAAGGGGCAGUAAUACAUGACUAACCUACCCUGGGGAUGGGGAUAGCUGUCCUAACGGACAGGUAAUACCCGGCGAGACGGCGAGCUGGCAUCAGUUUGCCGUGAAAUGAAUUUCGCCUCGGGAGGGGGUCAUGCCGUAUUAGCUUGUUGGUGAGGUAACGGCUCACCAAGGCAAAGAUGCGUAGCGGGUGUGAGAGCACGACCCGCGCCACUGGCACUGUGACACUGGCCAGACACCUACGGGUGGCUGCAGUCGAGGAUCUUCGUCAAUGGGCGAAAGCCUGAACGAGCGAUGCCGCGUGCGCGAUGAAGGCCUUCGGGUUGUAAAGCGCGAAAGUGGGGAUAAAGGGAAACUUGAUAGAACCACAGUAAGCUCGGGCUAAGUUCGUGCCAGCAGCCGCGGUAAGACGAACCGAGCGAACGUUGUUCGGAAUAACUGGGCUUAAAGGGCGCGUAGGCGGGUGACCAAGUCGGUGGUGAAAUACUCCAGCUCAACUGGAGAACUGCCUCCGAUACUGGUUGUCUCGAGGAAGAUAGGGGCGGACGGAACUGAAGGUGGAGCGGUGAAACGCGUUGAGAUCUUCAGGAACUCCGAUGGCGAAGGCAGUCCGCUGGAUCUUAUCUGACGCUGAGGCGCGAAAGCUAGGGGAGCAAACGGGAUUAGAUACCCCGGUAGUCCUAGCCCUAAACGUUGGGUACUAGAUAGUAGUCUACACAUGGGAUUACUGUCGAAGCGAAAGUGAUAAGUACCCCGCCUGGGGAGUAUGGUCGCAAGGCUGAAACUCAAAGAAAUUGACGGGGGCUCACACAAGCGGUGGAGCAUGUGGCUUAAUUCGAGCAACGCGAAGAACCUUAUCCUAGACUUGACAUAUGCGAAAGCGUCAGGAAGUAGAACCCGGAAACGGGAACGAACGGUAUCCAGUCCGGAACUUGAUACAGGUGCUGCAUGGCUGUCGUCAGCUCGUGUCGUGAGAUGUCGGGUUAAGUCCCAUAACGAGCGAAACCCUUACCUUCAGUUGCUACGGGUCAUGCCGAGAACUCUGGAGGGACUGCCUGGGUUAACCAGGAGGAAGGCGGGGACGACGUCAAGUCAUCAUGGCCUUUACGUCUAGGGCUGCACACGUGCUACAACGGCGUGAACAAAGGGAAGCAAGACCGCGAGGUGGAGCAAAUCUCAUAAAACACGCCCCAGUUCAGAUCGAAGGCUGCAACUCGCCUUCGUGAAGUUGGAAUCGCUAGUAAUCGCGGGUCAGCAACACCGCGGUGAAUGUGUUCCUGAGCCUUGUACACACCGCCCGUCAAGCCACGAAAGAGGGGAGCGCCCGAAGUCGCGUCAGCGCCGAAGGCGAUACCCUUGAUUGGGACUAAGUCGGAACAAGGUA
Molecule: ribosomal RNA, 1430 nt
Filed under: metagenome
Description: bacterial SSU rRNA
Rfam family: Bacterial small subunit ribosomal RNA
Source: RNAcentral